This 216-nucleotide ribosomal RNA is filed under the name Glomeromycotina sp. RNAcentral's name for it is "partial small subunit ribosomal RNA". The stretch from base 40 to 216 matches the Rfam family "Eukaryotic small subunit ribosomal RNA", at positions 686 to 864 of the family's 1831-position model. The record is from RNAcentral. Lineage: Eukaryota; Fungi; Glomeromycota.
GGGUCAGUAGGUUGGUCGUGCCACCGGUACGUACUGGUCUCACUGAUUCCUCCUUCCUGAAGAACCGUAAUGCCAUUAAUUUGGUGUUGCGGGGAAACAGGACUGUUACUUUGAAAAAAUUAGAGUGUUUAAAGCAAGCUAAAGCUUGAAUACAUUAGCAUGGGAUAAUGAAAUAGGACGAUCGAUCCUAUUUUGUUGGUUUCUAGGAUUGACGUA